RNAcentral lists this ribosomal RNA (521 nucleotides) under uncultured bacterium. RNAcentral describes it as "bacterial SSU rRNA". It matches the Rfam family "Bacterial small subunit ribosomal RNA", at positions 8 to 518 of the family's 1533-position model. The record is from RNAcentral.
AGAGUUUGAUUAUGGCUACAGGAUGAACGCUAGCUACAGGCUUAACACAUGCAAGUCGAGGGGCAGCAUGAAGUUGCUUGCAAACUUGAUGGCGACCGGCGCACGGGUGAGUAACGCGUAUCCAACCUUCCCUAUACUAGAGGAUAGCCCGGCGAAAGUCGGAUUAAUACUCUAUGUUCUUCGUAGAAGACAUCUGAAAUGAAGCAAAGGUUUACCGGUAUAGGAUGGGGGAUGCGUCUGAUUAGGUUGUUGGCGGGGUAACGGCCCACCAAGCCCACGAUCAGUAGGGGUUCUGAGAGGAAGGUCCCCCACAUUGGAACUGAGACACGGUCCAAACUCCUACGGGAGGCAGCAGUGAGGAAUAUUGGUCAAUGGACGAGAGUCUGAACCAGCCAAGUAGCGUGCAGGAUGACGGCCCUAUGGGUUGUAAACUGCUUUUAUACAGGGAUAAAGUUCACUACGUGUAGUGUUUUGUAGGUACUGUAUGAAUAAGGACCGGCUAAUUCCGUGCCAGCCGCGGC